This 53-nucleotide transfer RNA is filed under the name Haemaphysalis yeni. Its description in RNAcentral is "tRNA-Cys". The record is from RNAcentral. Lineage: Eukaryota; Metazoa; Arthropoda; Arachnida; Ixodida; Ixodidae.
AAUCUUAAACCGUUAAACUGCAAAUUUAAUAAAGAAUUUAAAUUCUAAGAUUU